Serinus canaria (Common canary) is the source of this 1969-nucleotide long non-coding RNA. RefSeq lists it as uncharacterized. NCBI's taxonomy places the organism in Eukaryota, Metazoa, Chordata, Aves, Passeriformes, Fringillidae. The record is from RefSeq and is a predicted model, not a curated record. The transcript is spliced from 4 exons.
GCUCAUACUCGUGUUAUCUUCCAAUGCCUGCAGAUGGUUUCUUUAAUUAUUGCUUUGGUCUAGAACACUUCAGCUUAACUAGAAUUUCCCAGCUCUUUACUUUCCAAGAAAUAUAGCUACAGACUAUGAACUCUCCAUGGUUGCUGGGAGGAGAGGCUGAUUUUCCCCAGAUGAAUAGAUGAACUGGACUUGCCAUCUGUCAGGUGCAGAGAUCUCCUUGUUAACGUGGGUGAUCAGGAUGUUAAGCUUCCUUUCUAGGUACUACAGACCAAGAUGAACCAAGAAGGGCUAUAACUGGCAAAACCUGACCGUAAGAAAAAUCUCACUAAGUUGAUCAAGAGGUGUUAUAGCAGAUUAACACUCCUGCUAGUGGGUUGCUCAGUUAAGCUGUGGAUCUUUGAAGCCUGUGAACCUUGUCAACUUUUCACCCAGACCACAGUACAGAAAUAUCUGGAUGAAAUGGCAUUGAGCUUGCUCACUAUGAAAAUACACAGUUGAACACUCACAUACCUUCUUAACCUCUCAGGGAAGCUGUUUUCCAUUCCUUCUGCUAGACAGACUCCUUACUGAUUGAUGGUAUGUUUCUCCAUCCAUAUUUAACAUGUUCAUAAAUGUUUUGACACCUUGUUUCCAAAGAUUUUAAUAAAAAGAGUAUGCAGAGAACCCAUGAGAUUAGCUUCUCCACCUUCCUUAAUUUUAAGUUAUAACUGGAAUAUUCCUGAAAAAUCACUGUAUCAAAGCAGCACAGAGGUUCCUCUGCUGCUCAACCUCAGCUGUCAGCUGCCUCCUGCUCCUCUGAUCCCUGCUCUGCCACUGCUGCUCACAGCACCAUUUAUUGUAACAGUGGCUGUGAUAGCGUGAUGUCUUGUUCCAUGGAUGAUGAACAUAAAAUAAUCUAUUUCCUUGUAAUUAUUAUUAUCAACUAAGAUUGACCACCAAACAACCAAAAUUUACUUUUGAUUUACAUUUGCUAAUCAUACAUAAAAAGUUAAUGUGUAUAUUUUUGUCUCAAGCAUUAAGAGCAUAAAAAACAUUACACAUUUUCCUUACCAAUUGUUGCUCCAUUAGGCCUUUUUACAAGUUAUCAAUUUAAUUAUCAAUAGAAUCCUUAUUUGCUAAAGGAUACAUUCUAGUUAUUAAUUUGCUUAUUAGUUUUUAAAUGUAAAAUUUACGCAAUUGAGGCUACCAAUUUUUAAACAACCUAGCAUCUUUCCACUUAUUUACUGGAAUUAGUGCUGCCUCUGCAGUAAAUGCUUUAGAGUUUAGUUGACCAUUUUUGACCAGUUUGGAUGUUUUAAAGAAAAAUAAUUGUCUUAUAAUACUACCAGUUUCUUCUGUUCACAAGAAAGGUUUUGUAGGUUUAGUUAGAUUUUGCAUUUUAAACUGUCACUCUUACAUAUAUGUCAAAUGUCCUGAAUUAUGCAAACAGGAGAUGUAAUUAAAUUACUCAAAUGAAAACAUUUUAAUUCACAGAAAGUGAAUCAGAGUAGAAAAGCAGGAAAACAUAUUAUGCAGGGAAGAGGGGAUAUUUUGUCAAAAAGAGGAAAAGAAAAUAGAUCAUCUACUCAACAAAAAACUCACAUUUGUUUAUAAGAAGGUGAUAUUGCUGAGACAAUGAUUGGAUGAACAGUAUUUGGAUGAUGAAGGAAACACAUUUUUUAAUCUUAUGCUGUGAAACCCAGAGUGAUGAACAGAAGAGUUUAAAAAAUGCCUUGACAAAAGUGUUUAGCAUGAUGAACUUCUGGUUUCAUCUUCCACUAAUAUGAUGAAAUAAGUUUCUUAAUUUUAUUUAAGUCAAAAAGAUCAGGAUCAGGGAUUGUAUCUUUUUCUGUAUUGUAUUGUGCCUACCACAAAGUAUUCUAGGAAGCUACAAUAUUUGUAUCUUUUACAAAAAAUAUAAUUAUUAGUUAAUAAUUUUGAAAUAUACCAUAUCACUGAAUUACUUCUGCCAAGGACUAAGGUUUAAAAU